This 1457-nucleotide ribosomal RNA is filed under the name uncultured organism. RNAcentral's name for it is "16S ribosomal RNA". It matches the Rfam family "Bacterial small subunit ribosomal RNA". The record is from RNAcentral.
UGAACGCUGGCGGCAGGCCUAACACAUGCAAGUCGAGCGGUAGCACAGAGAGCUUGCUCUCGGGUGACGAGCGGCGGACGGGUGAGUAAUGUCUGGGAAACUGCCUGAUGGAGGGGGAUAACUACUGGAAACGGUAGCUAAUACCGCAUAAUGUCGCAAGACCAAAGUGGGGGACCUUCGGGCCUCAUGCCAUCAGAUGUGCCCAGAUGGGAUUAGCUAGUAGGUGGGGUAACGGCUCACCUAGGCGACGAUCCCUAGCUGGUCUGAGAGGAUGACCAGCCACACUGGAACUGAGACACGGUCCAGACUCCUACGGGAGGCAGCAGUGGGGAAUAUUGCACAAUGGGCGCAAGCCUGAUGCAGCCAUGCCGCGUGUGUGAAGAAGGCCUUCGGGUUGUAAAACACUUUCAGCGGGGAGGAAGGCGGUGAGGUUAAUAACCUCACCGAUUGACGUUACCCGCAGAAGAAGCACCGGCUAACUCCGUGCCAGCAGCCGCGGUAAUACGGAGGGUGCAAGCGUUAAUCGGAAUUACUGGGCGUAAAGCGCACGCAGGCGGUCUGUCAAGUCGGAUGUGAAAUCCCCGGGCUCAACCUGGGAACUGCAUUCGAAACUGGCAGGCUAGAGUCUUGUAGAGGGGGGUAGAAUUCCAGGUGUAGCGGUGAAAUGCGUAGAGAUCUGGAGGAAUACCGGUGGCGAAGGCGGCCCCCUGGACAAAGACUGACGCUCAGGUGCGAAAGCGUGGGGAGCAAACAGGAUUAGAUACCCUGGUAGUCCACGCCGUAAACGAUGUCGAUUUGGAGGUUGUGCCCUUGAGGCGUGGCUUCCGGAGCUAACGCGUUAAAUCGACCGCCUGGGGAGUACGGCCGCAAGGUUAAAACUCAAAUGAAUUGACGGGGGCCCGCACAAGCGGUGGAGCAUGUGGUUUAAUUCGAUGCAACGCGAAGAACCUUACCUGGUCUUGACAUCCACAGAACUUUCCAGAGAUGGAUUGGUGCCUUCGGGAACUGUGAGACAGGUGCUGCAUGGCUGUCGUCAGCUCGUGUUGUGAAAUGUUGGGUUAAGUCCCGCAACGAGCGCAACCCUUAUCCUUUGUUGCCAGCGGUCCGGCCGGGAACUCAAAGGAGACUGCCAGUGAUAAACUGGAGGAAGGUGGGGAUGACGUCAAGUCAUCAUGGCCCUUACGACCAGGGCUACACACGUGCUACAAUGGCAUAUACAAAGAGAAGCGACCUCGCGAGAGCAAGCGGACCUCAUAAAGUAUGUCGUAGUCCGGAUUGGAGUCUGCAACUCGACUCCAUGAAGUCGGAAUCGCUAGUAAUCGUAGAUCAGAAUGCUACGGUGAAUACGUUCCCGGGCCUUGUACACACCGCCCGUCACACCAUGGGAGUGGGUUGCAAAAGAAGUAGGUAGCUUAACCUUCGGGAGGGCGCUUACCACUUUGUGAUUCAUGACUGGG